GGGCCAAGGCACCCUUGACUAAGUCUUGCAUUGUUAAAAAGAUGACCACUUCAUUUCACUUCACUCCAACUCUUAAAAAAAAGAAGGAAUUGAAGAGCACCACAAUAAGGGGGCUCUCGGCCAGCCCAAGGAAAAAUCCACCCCCAUUUCUUGCUCUUCCAAAAUUAUUUCCUUGGUACAAACCCACUAUUUUGAGGUCCCUAAGUAGCGUGGGAGUGUCGUUGGAGCGAUCAACCCAUUAUUUUUCAUCCAUUGGAAACCCUAGCAUUUUGUGGAAUUGAAGAGGAUAGAUCGUGGGCAGCCCGAAUCAUAGGUUGGAUUUAGCUUGAGUUUGGAUCGUAUUGGAGAGCGUUUGAGGUACGGACGCACAGCCUGGUGAUCCACCUGUUUAGGACACCCUUUCUGCUAUUCGGAGUGCUCCUCUCUUUCCGGAGCUUAUACUUUUGGUAUAUAUAUAUUUAUUAGUGCAUUUGUAUAUAUUCGUUCAUGGGUACGGCGGGGCCCUGUCCCGUCAUAUGAUUCUGUCGGUCUGUUUAGAGGUCUGUGGACAUGUUUGUGGGUUAGGGUCUUUCUGUAUGGAUAUAUGUACAUGUCGUUUGGGCGAUCCCAUACGCCGAGGCGGC
Lycium barbarum (goji berry) is the source of this 623-nucleotide long non-coding RNA. RefSeq lists it as uncharacterized. NCBI's taxonomy places the organism in Eukaryota, Viridiplantae, Streptophyta, Magnoliopsida, Solanales, Solanaceae. The transcript has 3 exons. The record is from RefSeq and is a predicted model, not a curated record.